CUGUAGUGAAUAGAAAUUUUGGUGUGGUGGCCAAAUGCUUUACUGUUUGGCAGACUUGUUCAUCAUUGCUGUAGCAUGGAGACUCCUUCCAGCUAUUGUACGCGUCUUUUUUUUUGUUUCAUUUAUUUGUUUGCUUCAUUUAUUCUUUCUUUGAAACCAUGUUUUUGUAUUUGUUUGCAGGAUUAAAUAUGUUAUCUUGCCCAAUACUUUCCUCAUGUGGCUGUUAUGACGAGCACCUUUCUUUGUGAGUUACUCUCUCUAGAUUUUUGAAAAUGGUAGAUCAAUGCAACUUAGUAAAAGCCUGCUGAAUCUGUAGCUAGAAUUGGUAGCACACUGCAACGUUUCAAAGCAAUAAAUUAAUAAUGUAAGAUGGUGGCGGGGAUUUUACAUCAACCUAUUGGGGCGUCUGUCCAUUCUAGAGGAAUGUGCAUGAACUGAGAGAACUUUCAUGAUGGAACCACCAAGUUCGAUUUUAGUUUCUCCCUCUUGCUAGUCUGCUUCAUUUUCUUCUAUUUUUUUAGUACAAGUACUAUGCCUAUCCUGUGCAUUAGUUUAUAGCUGAUCUAAUAUAUUUAACACUGUCUUAUUUAGGUGGCGGUGAUGUAUUAAAUAAUCUCUAACAAAUUAAUACGCUUAAAUGGUGAUGCCACUGCUCAAAUCCAAACACUGAAGAACGCAUAUAUAUUGCAUGGUCUGCCAUCGGAGCACCUUUGGAGGAAGAAGUUCACCUCAAGCCAUCGGAGUGAAAUUCUCAUUGCCAUAACCAGCUUUCACAGGGAAGCAUAAGGUGAUCCAUGAUCUUCACGUAGUAUGUAGAAUCUGGAGGAAAUCUAAUAUAUCUCUUAUGUAUAAUUUGUAUGUAGAUUUCGUGAGAAUUUGUCACAUUCAAAACUACAUUACCUGACUAACUUAUUUUUUGCCAGAUCAUAUCAUGAGUUACUGUUUACAUGUACUGUAGCUUCAUGAAGAAAAGAAAUAGGAUACAUUUUCUAGCCUUAUAUUCAUUUAUUUUUACUGUAAUGUCUAAGAAUGAAAGCACUCAGGUUCUGCACCUUCCAGUAGUUUAAUUUGUCUAAUAUGUUACCUUUUGCACAAGUGGGGCUUGUGUGAUAACUUGGCAUCUGCAACUUGGUUGCGUCUGAAUUUAGGGUCAAAAGAGUGAGGACCUUAACGCGCAAUAGCGUGGACCAGUGGACGAGGAUGAUAUCAUGGAGUCAGGAGAAAGGCUUGUUGGAAGUAGAAUAUAAUGAGGCAAUGUUAUGUUCUUUUUUCUAUUAAUUAACUUUACAGUGAUAUGUGUUGAAAGCCUGAAAGUGUAGGCCAUACCAAGGUUGAUGACAUCAAAAUGAUGUAAACAAUUAUCCAUCUCUUGAUUCAUUGCAGAUCUGAAAUUUGGAAAAGGCAAUAUUAAUCUUCCCCACUAAAUGGUUGUAUUAUGCCCCCAGUAUCAAUGAGUCCUGGUUUACAAAGUAAGCAGUCACCCUAAGUUUUUUUCAUUCCUUUGGUAGUUGUGGAUAAGUUUUUACGUUGGCUCGCCAAGCCUAUCACAACCCUCCUCCUUUAGCCGGUCCCAAGCCCGGGUAAAGGAGGAGGGUUGUGAUAGGNNNNNNNNNNNNNNNNNNNNNNNNNNNNNNNNNNNNNNNNNNNNNNNNNNNNNNNNNNNNNNNNNNNNNNNNNNNNNNNNNNNNNNNNNNNNNNNNNNNNNNNNNNNNNNNNNNNNNNNNNNNNNNNNNNNNNNNNNCCGCCUAUGUUGUCUCAACAUAGCCGGUCCCAAGCCCGGGUAAAGGAGGAGGGUUGUGAUAGGCUUGGCGAGCCAACGUAAAAACUCAGCCACUCUUAUGGAGAUGAAACCCAAAAGAUUUUCGUUGGGGCGUAACCCUCUCAGCGACGCGCCACAUCGGAACCCGGGUGUGGUGGAAAGUGGGCAAGGGCCGGGCCGUCACCCCCCAAGUGGCGCGCCGUAUCUUGAUCCGGAUACGGUGGCAAGUGAGCGAGGAUCGGGUCGUCGCAUCCUUAGUGGCGCGCUACAUCGGCGCCCGGGUGUAGUGGAAAAUGAGCAAGGGUCUUCGCAUUUGACUCGACGGGUGCGAAGGGUAAGGAAGCUAGCCGAGCCUAGGAGGAUUCGCUUAGGUAGCUGGAACGUAGGGUCUCUGACAGGGAAGCUUCGGGAGCUAGUUGAUGCAGCGGUGAGGAGAGGUGUUGAUAUCCUUUGCGUCCAAGAAACCAAAUGGAGAGGACAGAAGGCGAAGGAGGUGGAGGAUACCGGCUUCAAGCUGUGGUACACGGGGACGGCUGCAAACAGAAAUUGUUAGGCAUCUUGAUCAACAAGAGCCUCAAGUAUGGAGUGGUAGACGUCAAGAGACGUGGGGACCGGAUUAUCUUGGUCAAGCUGGUAGUUGAGGACUUGGUUCUCAAUGUUAUCAGCGCGUAUGCCCCGCAAGUAGGCCACAAUGAGAACACCAAGAGGGAGUUCUGGGAAGGCCUGGAAGACAUGGUUAGGAGUGUACCGAUUGGUGAGAAGCUCUUCAUAGGAGACCUCAAUGGCCACGUGGGUACAUCUAACACAUGUUUUGAAGGGGCGCAUGGGGGCUUUGGCCAUGGCAUCAGGAAUCAAGAAGGAGAAGAUGUCUUAAGCUUUGCUCUAGCCUACAACAUGAUUGUAGCUAACACCCUCUUUAGAAAGAGAGAAUCACAUCUGGUGACUUUUAGUAGUGGCCAACACUCUAGCCAGAUUGAUUUCAUCCUCUCAAGAAGAGAAGAUAGGCGUGCGUGCCUAGACUGUAAGGUGAUACCUGGAGAGAGUGUUGUACCCCAGCAUAAGCUGGUGGUUGCUGACUUCCGCUUUCGGAUUCGUGUCCAGCGGGAUAAGCGUGCCAAAGUCGCUAGAACGAAGUGGUGGAAGCUCAAGGGGGAGGUAGCUCAGGUGUUCAAGGAGAGGGUCAUUAAGGAGGGCCCUUGGGAGGAAGGAGGGGAUGCGGACAAUGUGUGGAUGAAGAUGGCGACUUGCAUUCGUAAGGUGGCCUCGGAGGAGUUUGGAGUGUCCAGGGGAAGGAGAAGCGAAGAUAAGGAUACCUGGUGGUGGAAUGAUGAUGUCCAGAAGGCGAUUAAAGAGAAGAAAGAUUGCUUCAGACGCCUAUACCUGGAUAGGAGUGCAGACAACAUAGAGAAGUACAAGAUGGCGAAGAAGGCCGCAAAGCGAGCUGUUGGUGAAGCAAGGGGUCAGGCAUAUGAGGACCUCUACCAACGGUUAGGCACGAAGGAAGGUGAAAGGGACAUCUAUAAGAUGGCCAAGAUCCGAGAGAGGAAGACGAGGGACAUUGGCCAAGUCAAAUGCAUCAAGGACGGAGCAGGCCAACUCUUGGUGAAGGACGAGGAGAUUAAGCAUAGAUGGCGGGAGUACUUCGACAAGCUGUUCAAUGGGGAGAAUGAGAGUUCUACCAUUGAACUAGACGACUCCUUUGAUGAGACCAGCAUGCGUUUUGUGCGGCGAAUCCAGGAGUCUGAGGUGAAGGAGGCUUUAAAAAGGAUGAAAGGAGGCAAGGCGAUGGGCCCUGAUUGUAUCCCCAUUGAGGUGUGGAGAGGUCUCGGGGACAUAGCAAUAGUAUGGCUAACCAAGCUUUUCAACCUUAUUUUUCGGGCAAACAAGAUGCCAGAAGAAUGGAGACGGAGUAUAUUAGUACCAAUCUUCAAGAACAAGGGGGAUGUUCAGAGUUGUACUAAUUACCGUGGAAUUAAGCUGAUGAGCCAUACAAUGAAGCUAUGGGAGAGAGUCAUUGAGCACCGCUUAAGAAGAAUGACAAGCGUGACCAAAAAUCAGUUUGGUUUCAUGCCUGGGAGGUCGACCAUGGAAGCCAUUUUCUUGGUACGACAACUUAUGGAGAGAUAUAGGGAGCAAAAGAAGGACUUGCAUAUGGUGUUCAUUGACUUGGAGAAGGCCUAUGAUAAGAUACCGCGGAAUGUCAUGUGGUGGGCCUUGGAGAAACACAAAGUCCCAGCAAAGUACAUUACCCUCAUCAAGGACAUGUAUGAUAAUGUUGUGACAAGUGUUCGAACAAGUGAUGUCGACACCGAUGACUUCCCGAUUAAGAUAGGACUGCAUCAAGGGUCAGCUUUGAGCCCUUAUCUUUUUGCAUUGGUGAUGGAUGAGGUCACAAGGGAUAUACAAGGAGAUAUCCCAUGAUGUAUGCUCUUUGCGGAUGAUGUGGUGCUAGUUGACGAUAGUCGGACGGGGGUAAAUAGGAAGUUAGAGUUAUGGAGACAAACCUUGGAAUCGAAAGGGUUUAGGCUUAGUAGAACUAAAACCGAGUACAUAUGUGCGGUUUCAGUACUACUAGGUGUGAGGAGGAGGUUAGCCUUGAUGGCCAGGUGGUACCUCGGAAGGACACCUUUCGGUAUUUGGGGUCAAUGUUGCAUGAGGAUGGGGGUAUUGAUGAAGAUGUGAACCAUCGAAUGAAAGCCGGAUGGAUGAAGUGGCGCCAAGCUUCUGGCAUUCUCUGUGACAAGAGAGUGCCACAAAAGCUAAAAGGCAAGUUCUACAGGACGGCGGUUCGACCCGCAAUGUUGUAUGGCGCGAAGUGUUGGCCGACUAAAAGGUGACAUGUUCAACAGUUAGGUGUGGCGGAGAUGCGUAUGUUGAGAUGGAUGUGUGGCCACACGAGGAAGGAUCGAGUCCGGAAUGAUGAUAUACGAGAUAGAGUUGGGGUAGCACCAAUUGAGGAGAAGCUUGUCCAACAUCGUCUGAGAUGGUUUGGGCAUAUUCAGCGCAGGCCUCCAGAAGCUCCAGUGCAUAGCGGACGGCUAAAGCGUGCGGAGAAUGUCAAGAGAGGGCGGGGUAGACCGAAUUUGACAUGGGAGAAGUCCGUUAAGAGAGACCUGAAGGAUUGGAGUAUCACCAAAGAGCUAGCUAUGGACAGGGGUGCGUGGAAGCUUGCUAUCCAUGUGCCAGAGCCAUGAGUUGGUUGCGAGAUCUGAUGGGUUUCACCUCUAGCCUACCCCAACUUGUUUGGGACUAAAGGCUUUGUUGUUGUUGUUGUUGUUGUUGUUGGUAGUUGUGGAUACAAUACAGUAGCUCAGGGACAAAAGCCAGUCCAUUAGUUCAGGCAAAAAAAGGCAAUCAAUUAGAGCUGGCGCAACAUUCCUAUUUGUAGGUUUUAUAUCAUACUGUUUCUGUAAAUUGUCAAUAAAUUGAAUUAAAUUCAAUACAUGACAUAAUUUGAUUGCCACCUGAUUUGUGUUCAAAAUUUUAACUCAAGCACCAUUGUACUAUUUGCAAUAAUAUAUUAGGAUUAGUAAAAUAUCAGGUAAAUAUAUAGUUGAUGCCAUUGUUCUUUCAACCCCCUUACGAAAAUUCAGUUCUAGCUCCAAAGCGAGCAGUUGAAUUAGUACUUAUAAUGAAGGUACCAAUGGUUAGCUAAAAUUGAUAGAAAAGAUUUUUUUUACGUGUUCACCUCAAACCUGUAUCUGAUCUUGUUCUAUAGUGCCUUUAUCUGAGAUUAUAUUCUGAGUUUACAGGAAAAUGAAAAAGCUAUCAUGUGAACUUUAGUAUGGCCAUGAGAUAGUGGUGCUUCCUCUCUCCUACCUGGCUAAUUUAUUUUAUUUUUAUCUGUUGUAUUACACAAUUAAAAAUUAUAUAUACCAUCUGCAAAGGUAUUCGUUCACAUUUGAAACAUAUAAUUCUAUUUUUUUAGAAAUUAUAUGAGUAUGAAUGGAAAAAAGGUGUUAGUCUCAGGAGCACUAUGAAUUCUUUCAAAAGUACAAAAGCUACUGCAAUAGAAACAAAAAACAAACAUUAUGUACUUGUUCUAAGGAAAGUAAUUUGUUUAUUUCAUUCGGCUGGUUUGUAAGUACAUGAUUCAGAAAGGAUAAAUUACUGACAGUUUCUGACUAUUUUUCUCCCAUAUUCAGGAGUCGGACUCACAGACGUUGAUCCAAGCACUCAAUGCCGGUGAUUUUUAUGUGGCGGAUUAUGGUGUACUACCUCAUAAUGUGAGGAGUACCUGCAUGGCGACCGUCUGAUAGGCAUGAGUUUAUCUUUUGCUGUUUUCAUGUAAUUCUGUUGCCCAUGCCAUAGCGAAAUUUGGGUACCAUUCGGCUACGGCUUCUAUAUUCUGGCUAGAGUCUAACCCAGACUUUGUAUCAAUUUUGGUUGCCAAUGACUCUGCUGAGCUUCUUGGUUAAUGAAAUCAUUUGAAAAUACUUGUUUCGCGUGCUUUGUAGGGAAGCCACCCUACAAGGCAAAUAAAUUUGUAACGAAGAACUAAGCUAAUCUAUGAGCACCCAUAUUCUAAUUGCC
Molecule: long non-coding RNA, 6292 nt
Filed under: Triticum aestivum (bread wheat)
Lineage: Eukaryota; Viridiplantae; Streptophyta; Magnoliopsida; Poales; Poaceae
Description: long non-coding RNA (TAES_LNC014847)
Source: RNAcentral